AAAUAAAGCUAGAAAGCAUUCACACCUCGCCCCAAUCUCUCUCUCUCUCUGCAUUUCACUCAGUCGCAUUUUCUUCUUCAGUUACUAUUCAGCGUUCCGCUUCUCAUCUUCCGCUUCUCCGCGCUGCGCAUCACUCUUCACUAGCUCGCAUGCUGCCAUCACUUUCGAUUCUGUGAAUGUUGGAGUGAAAGUAGGCAUACUUGCUUCACCUGGUUCUGCUCCGACAUAAGGGGGCAUCUGAGUUUUAGUUUUGCUAUUAGUUGUGUUGUAUUACUUGUAUGUGAACGUUGAUACUAGAAAGUGAUACUAGAAAGUUAACAAGUUGGGGGAUUGUGGUUGGAAGUUUGGUGUUGGAUAUUGCAGUGCAUAUUUGGUAGUUGGAAUGCUGGGUAAAGAGGAUACCUCCUGUGCUGGGGGUGACGGCGAUGGUGGGGGUGGUGGUUUGAGGGGGGCUUUCCAACAUCCAAGUGGUCGGAGAAUGUAUUGGCGGUCGGCUUCCUGGUCCUCUUCCAGGACUUCAUUGCCCCCACUAAACCCAGAUAGUGACAAAGAAGGUUUAGAUCCAAAUGGCAGUAGUAAUGGACAGGGUCGGAGGCCAUUAACCCCUAGAUCACAACAGAGUUUUAAGGCAAGGUCAUGUCUGCCACCAUUGGCAAUUGCUCGGAGGAGUCUAGACGAGUGGCCGAGAGCAGGGUCUGAUGAUAUUGGAGAGUGGCCACUUCCUAGUACUCCUAGUGCGAGGGAUGCAAACACCAAUGGUGAGAGACUCAAGCUUGAUUUGUCGAACAUACAGAAGAACCCAGAGAGGAAUGGAGGUCUUGUUAAAAGAGAAAAAAUCGCUUUCUUUGAUAAGGAGUGUUCAAAGGUGGCUGAGCACAUCUAUCUUGGUGGGGAUGCAGUUGCCAAGGAUAGGGAUAUUCUUAAGCAGAAUGGGAUCACCCAUAUUCUUAACUGUGUGGGAUUUGUAUGCCCUGAGUAUUUCAAGGCUGAUUUUGCUUACCGGACCCUGUGGUUGCAAGAUAGCCCAUCAGAGGAUAUUACUAGCAUACUCUAUGAUGUUUUUGACUACUUUGAGGAUGUUAGAGAACAAAGUGGUAGAGUUUUUGUUCAUUGUUGCCAAGGGGUUUCUCGGUCCACUUCUUUGGUAAUUGCUUAUCUAAUGUGGAGAGAAGGACAAAGUUUUGAUGAUGCCUUUCAGUAUGUGAAGGCAGCCAGGGGGAUUGCUGAUCCAAAUAUGGGUUUUGCAUGCCAGUUGUUGCAGUGCCAGAAAAGGGUACAUGCUUUUCCUUUGAGCCCAAGUUCUUUACUAAGGAUGUAUAGAAUUGCACCACAUUCACCAUAUGAUCCUUUGCAUCUUGUCCCAAAAAUGUUAAAUGAUCCGUCUCCAUCUGCUUUGGAUUCUAGAGGUGCAUUUAUAGUACAUAUAACUUCUGCAAUAUAUGUUUGGAUUGGUAAGAAAUGUGAAGCUAUCAUGGAAAGGGAUGCCAGAGGAGCUGUUUGUCAGAUUGCUCGUUAUGAGAAAGUGCAGGGCCCAAUAGUAGUGAUUUCUGAGGGUGAGGAACCUCCUUAUUUCUGGGAUGCUUUUUCCAAUUUGCUGCCAUUAAUGGAUAAAUCAAACAAGGGGGUUGAUGUUGUUGAAGCAUCAAUAAAAAUUUGUCCUGGACAGCGGAUAGUGAAUGCAUAUAACAUUGACUUUGAAAUUUUUGAAAAGGCAAUUGUUGGGGGUUUUGUACCUCCUUUUGCCUCAUCAGAGGCUGAACAUGAAACCCACCUACCUGCGAGGGAAAGCUCUUGGAGUGUGCUACGGCGUAAGUUUGUUUCUGGGAACAUGAAGGAUUUUGUCUCUGCUUCAAAACAAGGUCCCUUGAGAGUCUACCCUGAUUCGAUGUUUAUAGUGGUUGAUCAUUCUUCAUCUAAACAGCUGCACUCUCCUUUGUUUUCAUCAUCAUCAUCAACUUCUACAUCAUCACCUUCAUCAGUAUCCUUUUCAUCGUCCUCAUCCUCUUCAUCUUCCUCCUCUUCAUCGUCAUCAUCACCACCUUAUCUUUCUCCUGACUCAUUCUCUUCUGAUUCAAGCAUUAAUUCUUCACGAUGCUCAGAUUCCCCUGCUGUAUCUCCUUCAGCUGCGUCUUGUGCAGAUGUAACAUCUUCAACUCUAUCUAGCUUCUCUAAUAUAUCCCUUCUUCCAUCCAAGAUUUCUCCACAGUCAAUAUCUAAAACUUCGAAGUAUAUUGACGUUAACUUCACUUCACGUUCUUCACAAUCAGCUUCUACAUCAUCUAGAAAGUUUCCCCUCUCUAUUGCUGAGCGGAGAGGCAGCUUGUCAAAGUGUUUGAAGCUUCCAGUGUUGGACGACUCUCAGGGAAAAAAUACCCUUUCGAGUUUUCUUUUCAACAAACAAGAUGGCAUUGGUGUGACAUAUGGGUCCAGUUUAGGAAAUGAGUCACUUCAGAUGGAAAACAUUUUGGAGCCUCAUAGAGAGGCAAAUGCAAGUAGUGAAAAUGACUCAUUUAGGAUUUCAGGUAAUGUAGUCAAUACUGAUUCACUGUUUGAAGAUGUUUUACCCAGCACCUGUAAUGUAUGGGAAAACCAUUCUUCUGGAGAAAAGGAGGUAGUUGUCCUAAAUGGACUGGUGGAUGGUCAUCCCUGUAACCUUAUGCAACCUCUGGUAUUUAAGUGGCCCAACUUGGAAAAGAUUUCACAGUUGACUCCUGAUGAUUUGGAUUCGGAUUCUGUAUAUAUUUUUGUUAUUCCUAGCCCAGAGUUUAAGAAUGUUGAGGGUAGGAUUCUAUAUUUUUGGGUAGGAAGAUCUUUCAGCUGUAAGUCAAGUAAGAUUUUCUCGGGGUACUGCCAAAGCCUAAGCGGCUCAGAAGACAUUGACUGGGGAAAAGCUUCUUCUGAUACUCUUCGCCAGAUGGGACUGCCACUGGAUACUAACAUCAAGAUUGUCAAAGAAAAUGAAGAACCAGAGGAGUUCCUGGCAUUGUUGAGUUCCAAGUGAUAGUAACAUGGUAUGUGGAUAAGAGGCAUGCAGUAAUUUCAUUAGAUAACUUCUCUUUCAAACUUUUUGAGUAUCCACAUUCCACGAUGCACGUCUGCCAUCUGAAUGACAUUAGAGAAUACUGGAAGGAGCUGCUUUUAAUGUUGUCAGUCAGAGGUGGUUUACCUGGAUGUACAGUGCUGCGACCCGAGGCAUCUGCCCUGCUGCUGACUCAAAUCUGGAUGUACAAUUUUCAUGACCUAGAAAUACAUAGAUUUUUGAAAGACACUUAGAAGGUUCGUAGGCAAGAUAGCAUCGUUCGUUCAUUGCAAUUUCCAUUCUUGACUAUAAUUGUACAUUUUUCUAUGCCCAUGCUUAAUUCCAAAAUCACAGACUCAGCUCCUAUAGUUUU
RNA transcript from Ipomoea nil (Japanese morning glory), 3392 nucleotides. It is a transcript of the gene named protein-tyrosine-phosphatase MKP1, with no coding region annotated. The record is from RefSeq and is a predicted model, not a curated record. The transcript has 4 exons. NCBI's taxonomy places the organism in Eukaryota, Viridiplantae, Streptophyta, Magnoliopsida, Solanales, Convolvulaceae.